GAAGAUGUCAUAUCCUUAUGGCAUCAGGACUUCAUUGCUUCCACAUCCCCAGGGAGCCCAGGAGGUGCCAUAUUGUUUUCCUGCACUCACUGUUGCACACCCCCACCCUCACACUGCCUCCAGGAAGAGCGUGAGGGACAGGAUCACCCUGUCCAGGGGCUGGGUGCCUGUGCUUGGCCGUUCUGCUUGAUAAAACACAUCAAUGUUUACUUGGCAUCAGAGACGUGCACAUUGCCUUUGCCUACCUAUAAUCAGCGCCUCCAACUUCCUGCUCUAAUUAGCCCCUGGGGAGGCUUUGUUGGUAAUGGCCCUCAGUGGGACCCAUUAGCGCACCAAGAAACUUUGGAAUUUGCUUCUGACUUUAACUUCUUGAAAGGUUUGUUCAGUCUCCCCUCAGUAUCUGAGGUUCAUGGACUCAGCACCAAAUACACCAGAGGGGCCAUUAAAAUGCAAAAAACCCGAACAAGCUAUGUCACCCCCCCUAAUUUUCUUCAGUUCUUCAAUUCUUGUAUGGCUAAUUGGAGAGGUUUCAAGAGUGUAUUUACAAGAGGAAGAUUUCAAAGAGCACCGAAAAAAAAAAAAAAACAGCAGCUUGUGGGGUUCAGAUGUGACUUCAGGAAAAGGAAGUGUCACUUGAAGGGUAGAGCUGUGGUGCUACAGGUCACCCAGAGGGAGUCUGUGAUUAGACCCUGCCUUUGUGUUUCAAGGAAAAUCAAGUGAGGAUAGAGAGACAUGAGUAGGGGUACGGAGAUCCCAGGGUGAGAGCAAGGUGGCAAAGCAGGUUGGCUGUCUGCAGUCUGCAGGGAAACAGGCAUAGGCGUGGGACAGCACAGGACAGCCUGUGGUGGAGACAGCCGAGGGCACUGCCAAGGCUGAAAGCUGCCUACAAAACUGAGGUCUUUGUCCUUUUGGCUAUGGCUGUUGUCUCUGCCACUGAGGCCCUCAAGAAGAUGUUUCCUUAAAGCACUGUGACCUCGCUGCCUUCUCGUUCCUGGGGACUCAGGAGGUGCUGUAUGGCUGUCCUGCACUUGGUGUUGCAUCCUCCCACCCUCACACUGCCCCCAGGAAGAGCCCUGAGCAAAGCAUGAGGGAAAGGAUCACCCUAACCAGCGGCUGGGUCUCAGUGCCUGGCCAUUCUGUUUGAUAAAACAUGUCAAGGUUUACUUGGCAUCAGAGCC
This 1178-nucleotide long non-coding RNA is filed under the name Apteryx haastii (Great spotted kiwi). RNAcentral describes it as "lncRNA (ENSAHAG00000003893.1)". The record is from RNAcentral. Lineage: Eukaryota; Metazoa; Chordata; Aves; Apterygiformes; Apterygidae.